CAAUAGCGUAUAUUAAAGUUGUUGCAGUUAAAAAGCUCGUAGUUGGAUUUCGGGAUGGCCCGGCCGGUCUGCCGCAAGGUAUGUUACUGGCCGAGCUGUUCUUCUUCGCAAAGACUGUGUGUGCUCUUAACUGAGUGUGCUCAGGAUCUGUGACGUUUACUUUGAAAAAAUUAGAGUGUUCAAAGCAAGCCAGCGCUUGAAUACAUAAGCAUGGAAUAAUGGAAUAGGACUUUGGUUCUAUUUUGUUGGUUUCUGGAACCUUAGUAAUGAUUAAGAGAGACAGUUGGGGGCAUUCGUAUUUCGUUGUCAGAGGUGAAAUUCUUGGAUUUACAAAAGACGAACUACUGCGAAAGCAUUUGCCAAGAAUGUUUUCAUUAA
This 378-nucleotide ribosomal RNA is filed under the name uncultured eukaryote. RNAcentral describes it as "partial 18S ribosomal RNA". It matches the Rfam family "Eukaryotic small subunit ribosomal RNA", at positions 592 to 976 of the family's 1831-position model. The record is from RNAcentral.